Molecule: long non-coding RNA, 358 nt
Filed under: Elaeis guineensis (African oil palm)
Lineage: Eukaryota; Viridiplantae; Streptophyta; Magnoliopsida; Arecales; Arecaceae
Description: long non-coding RNA (EGUI_LNC012986)
Source: RNAcentral
GUCUGUUCAGAACCAAUACCGAGCUUUCAAAACUUGCUGUUGAACAUUAGACAAUUUAUUCUUGAUUGAAUCUACUCCAACCCUUUAUAUAAUUUAAUCACCUUCAUAUAGGAUGAAAUUUUUGAGAGAAAGCAAGGAGAGUGGGGAAGCUAACCUAUCCUUCUGUUUGCUGAAUCUGACCUUCGUCCAAGAGUUCAGGCUUCUACAUGAGGAAUGUGCUUUCUGACGUCAAGUUUCAGCUAGGCCAAGAGAUGAUUACUUUGAUGCGGUCGGUUCCAUUGGUCAAUUCUUCAGGAGAAGUCCCGAAACUGAACUAGUCAAUUGAUAGGAUCGUAGCUAACCCACUGGCUUUUCAUCG